GGAUGUGAGGGUGAUCUGGCUGCGACAUCUGUCACCCCACUGAUCGCCAGGGUUGCUUCGGCUGAUCUGGUUGGCUAGGCGGGUGUCCCCGUCCUCCCUCAAGGAUCCAUGUGCAUCCCUCCCGAAGCUGCGCACUCAGUCGAAGAGGACGACCACCCCCGAUAGAGGAGGACCAUUCUUCUGUCAAGGGUGUAUGAGUAGCUGCGCUCCCCUGCUAGAAACUCCAAACAAGCUCUCUAAAAAGAAACUGGAGAUUUGGAUGGCUGUUCACAUACCUUGCCUGAUAAUACUUAUUACUAAGGAACAUUACCAGGCAAUAAAGAAGGUAUUUUUCA
This 335-nucleotide small nuclear RNA is filed under the name Octodon degus (degu). Its description in RNAcentral is "7SK RNA (ENSODEG00000023061.1)". It matches the Rfam family "7SK RNA". From Rfam's summary of the family: 7SK was discovered as an abundant small nuclear RNA in the mid-70s but a possible function has only recently been suggested. The record is from Rfam by way of RNAcentral. Lineage: Eukaryota; Metazoa; Chordata; Mammalia; Rodentia; Octodontidae.